Molecule: long non-coding RNA, 1376 nt
Filed under: Heterocephalus glaber (naked mole-rat)
Lineage: Eukaryota; Metazoa; Chordata; Mammalia; Rodentia; Bathyergidae
Description: lncRNA (ENSHGLG00000034051.1)
Source: RNAcentral
UACAGGCAGCAUGUGCAGCUCAGAGGUCAGCCAUGACAAGUGAGCUUUCUCCUGGACAAAGGACAACAGCUGCACAGACACUGCCACGGCGUGGAAACCAGAUGAAGCUCAGGACAUGAGAAGUACACUUCACCAAGAGCAUAAACAGGAACAGAGAGGCAGCAAUUUGUUAAUUUGACUGAUCCUAAAGGUCUUCACAGAUGAGCCCUGAGAAUGAAAAUCUGACGCUGUUGAACUGCCAUCUCCUUGUUGCUAUGGAGAUAGGUCUACCUGUUGAUAAUAUGGAAAAUUAAGUCACCCCACAGAUUUUUUCCCCUUGAGCCCCAGUCUCAGACUGUGCUACCUGUUGGCAAGCCCUUGAGACAGCCCAAUUAACAUUCACUUGUAACUUCAAAGGAAUUUUGGAAUUUUGGAAAUCACCUCUGCAAAAAAGAGGUCCUGUCAUCAUCCUGAAUUUGGUGAACUGCAACAUUUACCCUUUCAGUUGGAGCCAUUUUUGUCUUUCCUUUCACACUGGACAUCCAAUCUAUCUGUCAUAAUAACUCAGUUCUGAAACUACAAGUCGUUUCUUAUUCCCAUUGGCCUUGUUCACUUUUAUUAGUACCGUGUCCUGGUCACCUGGUUCUCCCUUUGCUUUCUUUCAUACAGCAGCCAGACAGACUACAACCAAGGGCAAGUGAGAUCAGGUCACCUUUCUGCUGGAAACCCCUAGUAAUGCUCAUUGCACUCCAGGUGAAAGACGGAGUGUUUUCCGUGGCCCAGAAGGCCUUGCUUUUAUGUCUUUGUUAGCUAUUAGGCCUCAAAUCCCAGUACUUUUCCUCUCCUUCCAAACCUAGCUUCACCAACUCCUGGGACCUUCCCUCACCCAGGGUCUCUGUUCUGAUACACAUCUGUUCUGACUGUUCCUUCUGCCUGGGCCUCACCUCUUCUGGACUUCUGCAGGCCUUGCUCCCUCUCUCAGGUAUAUUGGAGAGUCAACACACGCCCUGCAGAGAAGCACCGCAGGAAGGAAGGGUGACAUAGGAUGUCCAAAGAGCAUGUAAUUCAGCAACCAUCUACCGGUGCUCCAGGUUCCACAAUCAACCAAUCAGGCUCGAGGGCUUCCUGCAGGUUCCCGUCCCUUAUUUGCAUAGCGCACCGAGUGCUAACCUGUGCAGGUGCUUUAUGUCACUUCCCCCUCAUUGUCCCUCGGAGCGCCCUGCUUUGCAAACGGCUAAUUAAAACUUUCUCUUUUAUCUGAAUUCUUUUCUUAGCGGAUUUUUGUUGACAUGAUUUCGCGGGAUAUCCCUGGUUCUUCUAGUGAGGGCUUGGGGAAAAAAAUUGCCCGAAAAUAUUACAUUGCUUAUUUGGCAGGCAAUGACAGGGAGUUCUAACAC